Salmo salar (Atlantic salmon) is the source of this 74-nucleotide non-coding RNA. The record is from the annotation of a RefSeq genome assembly. Lineage: Eukaryota; Metazoa; Chordata; Actinopteri; Salmoniformes; Salmonidae.
UCCCGUGUGGCUCAGUUGGUAGAGCAUGGUGUUUGUAACGCCAGGGUUGUGGGUUCGAUUCCCACCCACGGGGG